UUCGGCCCCUCAUACAGUACCGGAAGGAUCGGGAUACAAACCUAAUGUUUGAAAUUCUCGACGGAAAGAUGCUGAAGGAUGGUUAUUUAUACAAAAAAGUGGGCACUGAUUCAUUGAGCUAUUGGGGUGUAAUACCUACUGAAGCUGAACUCCUGAAGUUUGAACCUUCCAAAAGUGAUGGACCUCAGGAUGUUGAGUGGCUUACCCAGUUAGCCUACUGAAGCUGAACUCCUGAAAUUUGAACCUUCCAAAAGUGAUGAACCCCAGGAUGUAGAGUGGCUUACCCAGUUAUACGGUGACCGGAAGAAAAAGAGAAUCAUAAAUGAUUUCAAGGUUGGUCAGAAAGGAGGUGAGAAAGGAGAGGGUUCUUCAAGCUCUAGCAUGG
This 385-nucleotide long non-coding RNA is filed under the name Nicotiana benthamiana. RNAcentral describes it as "long non-coding RNA (NBEN_LNC026037)". Lineage: Eukaryota; Viridiplantae; Streptophyta; Magnoliopsida; Solanales; Solanaceae. The record is from RNAcentral.